Molecule: ribosomal RNA, 490 nt
Filed under: uncultured bacterium
Lineage: Bacteria
Description: partial 16S ribosomal RNA
Rfam family: Bacterial small subunit ribosomal RNA
Source: RNAcentral
GAUGAACGCUAGCGAUAGGCUUAACACAUGCAAGUCGAGGGGUAACGUGUUGGAAGCUUGCUUCCGAUGACGACGACCGGCGGAUGGGUGCGUAACGCGUAUGCAACUUGCCUCACAGUGGAGAAUAACCCGGAGAAAUCCGGACUAAUACUCCAUACACUCUUAAGUACGCCUGUACAUGAGAGGAAAGAUUUAUCGCUGUGAGAUAGGCAUGCGUCCUAUUAGGUAGUUGGUGAGGUAACGGCUCACCAAGCCGACGAUAGGUAGGGGUGCUGAGAGGCAGAUCCCCCACAUUGGGACUGAGACACGGCCCAAACUCCUACGGGAGGCAGCAGUGAGGAAUAUUGGUCAAUGGAGGAAACUCUGAACCAGCCAAGUCGCGUGAAGGAAGAAUGUCCUAAGGAUUGUAAACUUCUUUAGCGUGCGAGUAAGGACUUCCGCGUGAUGGGAGUUUGAAAGUAGCUCGAGAAUAAGUAUCGGCUAACUCCGU